Triticum urartu is the source of this 128-nucleotide non-coding RNA. The record is from Rfam. Lineage: Eukaryota; Viridiplantae; Streptophyta; Magnoliopsida; Poales; Poaceae.
UUUCUAUUACCUCUGUCCCAAAUUAAUUGUUUUAGAUUUAUCUAGAUAUGGAUGUAUCUAACACGUGUGUAGAUAAAUCCAUAUCUAACAAAUCUAAGACAAAUAGUUCGGAACAGAGGGAGUAUGUA